Hypholoma sublateritium FD-334 SS-4 is the source of this 87-nucleotide transfer RNA. It matches the Rfam family "tRNA". Rfam says of the family: Transfer RNA (tRNA) molecules are approximately 80 nucleotides in length. The record is from Rfam. NCBI's taxonomy places the organism in Eukaryota, Fungi, Basidiomycota, Agaricomycetes, Agaricales, Strophariaceae.
CCUUCGAUAGCUCAAUCUGGAAGAGCGUGGGACUGUAACGGCUACGUGAUGAUCCCAAGGUCGUUGGUUCGAUCCCGACUCGAAGGA